ACUCAAGACACAUCUGAGCUUACAGGCAUCUAGUACAGCAUCAACUGUGCCUGUUAAACUUUCUUUUGUCUUUCAACAGUUCUUCACAGUACUCCAAGUCAUUUUUCAUACUUUUCUCUUUUUGUGCUGCCUCUUCCAAUGAGCAAAUAUAAUCUUCCAAAGCUUCAGUUGACAUUUCGUUAUAAGCCUUUGAAUAUUUCAGCUCUUGUUGGAUGUAUUCAAAUUCUAUCCCAUUUUUCUUGACUUUUGAAGCAUUUUUGGCAAGGCUGGUUUUAGUUUGAGCAUGGGCACUCUUUUAUCUCCUGUUAAGGCUGAAAUAUUUUCCACUCAUAUUUGGCUUAAGAGUUUCCAAUUUCUGUCUCUUUACAACAAAUUCAUCAGUGGCUCUUUUUAAUUUUCUUUUUAAAUGGUAAUGUUCCCUUUCUAGAGAUAUCAUUUUUCUUUCUUGUUUUGAAUUUGUGUUUUUAGUUUGCUUACUUCAUCCUUCAGGCUAUUAACUUCAUGUCCAAGGCCUUGCAAUGCCAUAAAUCUGACCUCGUUCUCUCAGGAGUUUGUACUGGCACAAUGAAAUGCUCAGCUAUUUAUUUUCCUUAACUUGUCCUUUCUUCUUUUUAUCUUCUUGCUGUAUUCGUUGAAACGUACUCAUUAAUACAUUAAAAUUAAGCUGUUGGGGAACAUUAAAAACCUAUCCAACCGACGUAGCAAACAUUUGACUGUUUCCGGGGGCAAUUUGUGAAUUUCAAAUACUAACAAAUUUGUUUGAAAUUUAGUCGGAGCUACACUCACAUCAAGCUGUGCUUUCAUGCUGUCAUUAAGUUGCAACUGUUCAAGUAAUGGGAACGUUUUCAAACUUCACUGCUUAUUUUCCAAACUUUAUUUUCAUUUUCAGUGCUACGUUUCUGGAUCUUGAUCUCAGCAAUGAAAAGGAACCUGAUCCACAACUACUACUAGAACUGCUGAAUUGAAAAAAGUGAUGCAAUGUUUCUCUCGAAGAAAUGUUUCUCUCACAAGGUUCACACUCAAAAUGAUCAUGAAGCCACUGUGCAACCUUAUUAUUUUCUGACAAACAAUGAGCAUAAGUUGAUGUUACAGAUUCACAAUCUCUCAAUUUUCUAAAACCAGACAUUCAGCCAUUGCCUGUUGGCAAACAUGGAUGAGCUGAAUGAACUCUUAGCAGUUUUUUCCAAAAUCGAGCAACUGAGAUAGCACUGAAGCUGAGGAGGAAGCCUUCAGCUGGGCUCUUUACAAGCCACUGACAAGUACAUGGUGACCCAUGUAAAAGAAUGGCUUCGAGUUCCAGGAGCAAGGCUUAGAAAUGGCAUAAGGAAAACGCGUACUGGAAAAAACAGGUGCAGAUAGAGAAUCUGCAAACAAAACAGCUGAAUUGCAACGGAACAAAGAAAUCCAAAAAGUUGGUUUUGACAACAUAUUUUUCACAGGGUUAUGUCCCUUGUUUUUGAACUUGGUACAUAUACUCCCAGGUUCUCUUGGACACUACUGAAGUUAAUAAAUGAAACUGUCCGUGCUAACUAAGGUACAAACUCCAAAAGAUGGUUUUAAGAACUUAAUUUGUAUGGAGUUAUGACCCUUUGCUUCAUGCUUUUUUAACUUGAUGGAAUGGGGGGGAAAAGUUUGUCUCGUAAACGAAUUUGAAGCCACAUAAAUGAAAUUUUGCAGGCCAAUAUGAGGGGUAUAUGUUUAGACUCAGUUUUAAAACUUGAUUU
Molecule: long non-coding RNA, 1724 nt
Organism: Haliotis rufescens (red abalone)
Lineage: Eukaryota; Metazoa; Mollusca; Gastropoda; Lepetellida; Haliotidae
Exons: 3
Source: RefSeq, a predicted model, not a curated record